This is a long non-coding RNA of Passer domesticus (house sparrow), 1806 nucleotides long. RefSeq lists it as uncharacterized. The record is from RefSeq and is a predicted model, not a curated record. The transcript is spliced from 3 exons. NCBI's taxonomy places the organism in Eukaryota, Metazoa, Chordata, Aves, Passeriformes, Passeridae.
GGAGGGGUGGGGACUGUGUGGAUUUUGUUGUGUUGUAGGAGUUCUGGGAGAAGGAUUCACCUGAUUAGGUCAGCUUGGUUAAUUAAAGAGAAAAUCUAGCCUGCAGCAGAGUCCAGUGGGGUCUGAAGCACAGGGAACAAGGGAAUGGUGCCAAGCAGAUCCUGCUGAGUGCUGAACUCAUAGCCCCACCAAGGGUGCUAUUUAAAAAAUGAGUCCAUCUGACCAAGCAGCAAACAUGAGGGCAGCCAACUUGGUGGGAGUUACCACCUGCAUCCUAUGGAGAGAUGUGGGUUUGUGGUGGAAGAUUCUUGUCAGCCAGCCAGGAGUGGAUUAUUCUGGAGGAGCAAGAGACAGACCCUGGGCUUUGUCAGCUGCAGGGCUGUUUUUCUCUGGUUGGCAGCCAGCAGCUUGCUGUGCUACUAUCCUGUUCCUCAGACGAGUUAAACUGCAGCGAUGAUGGAGAAAGAAGUGGCAGCAGCACUGGAAGAAGAUGCCCCUCAGAUUCACAUUUGCUUGGUGAGCCAGAAGAUCCUGCAGAGUCUUCUGGGGAUGGCAGUGGCAGUGCUUAGCUCUGCUGUGACACGAGAUGCAUUCCCUCCCUUCUGAGAUGACUGAAGUGGGAGCUGGGCUGUGUGCCAGACCUGUAGCCUGUGGCAUUGGGCUGGAGAGAUAAGAAUUCACAGAAAUGUAGAGCACCAUAAAGUGUACGAGAAAAAUUGAAAUGACAAAGUUGUUACAGGAGAACUUCCAUAACUGGAAGCGUUUCAAACUGUUCCAUCCUCCCUGAUAACUGCAGGCAGCUUUCAUGCUGCCUUCUUAUCUUCUCCUGCCACGUAUGCAAGUACCAGAAAUGUUUGUUGGAAAAACUUCCCUUGGUUGGGUUUUCUGUUCUGUGAGAAAUCCUUACAGCCAAACUGAGUGUGCACAUGGGUGUUUUCUCCCAGAGGUUUGAGCACUGAUGUCUGCUGUCUCCAUAUCUCAAACACUGGCUGUAAAUGGAGCAAGGUUUGGUGUUUACAGGCACCCACAGUCCAGGCAAGCCAUGGCCAGUGUGCAUCUACAAAGCCACGCAGUUGGUCUAAAAACAAAGAUCUUGCUUGUUUGCAAAUGCCUGAUGCAGAGUUUUGCAUAUGCAAAGUGUUUUUGAAGGCAUUCUUUCCUGCUGAAGAACAGCUUGGGUGCUGAAAUACAGCUACUACUUCAUUGGCAGAGUUUUCUGAUGUAUGAGGAAAACUUAAGAUGAGCUGGGAAAACAUCAUUUGCCUCCUGUGAUCCUCCCCCCAUGCUCGCUUUGCAUGGAAUUAUUCUGUCUUGCAGUGAGCUGAGCAUUUUGGGGAAGGAAGUGGCACAGAGAGGCCUUUAAUCCUUCAGUGGGGCCCUUGUGACUUCAGCAGCGAUGAGGAUUUAGGGUUUCACUGGUACCCAGCAUGAGGGAUGGUGCUGCUUGGCUGUGUUACUGUGGAACUCAUGGUGCUCACGAGCCAGACUUGUAGAUUUGUACUCUUUAAAAGCCAUCAGUUGCUCCCCUUUGCCAGUGGAUAAAUUAUUUGACUUCUUAGGCCAUUAAAAAUGAUCUUAGCAUCAUUUGUCACAAUUUCAAAAGAGCAGUGCUAAUCAACAGGCCAUUCCUUCAAAAUUAACCUGUCUAAACAGCAGGAGGGAUGAGCAAGGUGUGAUCUUGGCCCCAUCACCAUAUAUAAUAAUUCUUAUUUCUUCCUCCCAUUCCUAGAAAGCAGGAUUAUUGUUCACAACCAGAAUUUGGGGAUGCUUUGCUGGAACAAAAUAAAAUUUCUGACAAUCCUUUUA